RNAcentral lists this ribosomal RNA (500 nucleotides) under uncultured bacterium. Its description in RNAcentral is "bacterial SSU rRNA". It matches the Rfam family "Bacterial small subunit ribosomal RNA", at positions 28 to 538 of the family's 1533-position model. The record is from RNAcentral.
GAUGAACGCUGGCGGCGUGCCUAAUACAUGCAAGUCGAACGAGGUGCUUUUGUAGCAAUACGAGAGUAUCCUAGUGGCGAACGGGUGAGUAGCGCGUUGGUGACCUACCCCAAAGUGCGGGAUAACAGUCCGAAAGGACUGCUAAUACCGCAUGUGGUUAUUGGAUUUAGAAACUAAUAACUAAAGGAGCAAUUCGCUUUGGGAGGGACCUGCGUCCCAUCAGCUAGUUGGUGAGGUAAUGGCUCACCAAGGCGACGACGGGUAGGGGACCUGAGAGGGUGACCCCCCACAAUGGAACUGAAACACGGUCCAUACACCUACGGGUGGCAGCAGUAGGGAAUAUUGGGCAAUGGGCGAAAGCCUGACCCAGCAACGCCGCGUGUGUGAUGAAGGCCUUCGGGUCGUAGAGCACUUUUCUGGGAGAUGAGAAAGGACAGUAUCCCAGGAAUAAGUCUCGGCUAACUACGUGCCAGCAGCCGCGGUAAAACGUAGGAGGCGAG